GCACCGAGGUUCGACCCCCGACACCUANCACUCAUCGUUUACSGCGUGGACUACCAGGGUAUCUAAUCCUGUUCGCUCCCCACGCUUUCGUGCCUCAGCGUCAGUYACAGUCCAGAGAKUCGCCUUCGCCACUGGUGUUCCUCCUAAUAUCUACGCAUUUCACCGCUACACUAGGAAUUCCACUCUCCUCUCCUGCACUCAAGUUAUGCAGUUUUAAAGGCUUACUACGGUUGAGCCGUAGCCUUUCACCCCUAACUUGCAUAACCGCCUACGCACCCUUUACGCCCAAUGAUUCCGGAUAACGCUCGCCCCCUACGUAUUACCGCGGCUGCUGGCACGUAUUAGCCGGGGCUUCCUCCUAAGGUACCGUCAUUAUUCUUCCCUUAGGACAGAGCUUUACGACCCGAAGCCUUCAUCGCUCACGCGGCGUUGCUGCAUCAGGCUUUCGCCCAUUGUGCAAUAUUCCCCACUGCUGCCUCCCGUAGAGUCUGGACCGUGUCUCAGUUCCAGUGUGGCCGAUCACCCUCUCAGGUCGGCUACUGAUCGUCGCCUUGGUAAGCAUUACCUUACCAACUAGCUAAUCAGACGCGGG
This 592-nucleotide ribosomal RNA is filed under the name Alkaliphilus sp. G550IX. Its description in RNAcentral is "partial 16S ribosomal RNA". The record is from RNAcentral. Lineage: Bacteria; Bacillati; Bacillota; Clostridia; Peptostreptococcales; Natronincolaceae.